UAGGGAAUCUUCCACAAUGGACGAAAUCUGAUGGAGCAACGCCGCGUGAGUGAAGAAGGGUUUCGGCUCGUAAAACUCUGUUGUUAAAGAAGAACAUAUCUGAGAGUAACUGUUCAGGUAUUGACGGUAUUUAACCAGAAAGCCACGGCUAACUACGUGCCAG
Molecule: ribosomal RNA, 163 nt
Filed under: uncultured bacterium
Lineage: Bacteria
Description: partial 16S ribosomal RNA
Rfam family: Bacterial small subunit ribosomal RNA
Source: RNAcentral